Molecule: long non-coding RNA, 609 nt
Organism: Oncorhynchus tshawytscha (Chinook salmon)
Lineage: Eukaryota; Metazoa; Chordata; Actinopteri; Salmoniformes; Salmonidae
Source: Ensembl
AGGAGAGGAGAGAGUAUCAGGGAACGGUGUGUGUGCCAUGUUUCAGGGUUUUAAUAGAUGAGUAUGAAUCACAGGAUCUGUGAGGCACCGGUCAUUACAAAGCACUUACAGUGUAUCAGAGUAGAUCAAGUCGUUUGCAUGCCUCGUUAUACGGUUACCGCACAGUCAUUAUUUUAGUCAUUUAGAAUUAAGAUCAUUUUAAAAUCCUAAUCCUGGUCAUCCAUACAUAUCAGAGUUCACUGUUACUGUAUUCUGAGGUGGCAGCAGUACAUAUCAGAGUUCACUGUUACUGUAAUCUGAGGUGGCAGCAGUACAUAUCAGAGUUCACUGUUACUGUAAUCUGAGGUGGCAGCAGUACAUAUCAGAGUUCACUGUUACUGUAAUCUGAGGUGGCAGCAGUACAUAUCAGAGUUCACUGUUACUGUAUUCUGAGGUGGCAGCAGUACAUAUCAGAGUUCACUGUUACUGUAUUCUGAGGUGGCAGCAGUACAUAUCAGAGUUCACUGUUACUGUAAUCUGAGGUGGCAGCAGUACAUAUCAGAGUUCACUGUUACUGUAUUCUGAGGUGGCAGCAGUACAUAUCAGAGUUCACUGUUACUGUAAUCUGAC